Neofelis nebulosa (Clouded leopard) is the source of this 749-nucleotide long non-coding RNA. RefSeq lists it as uncharacterized. The transcript has 3 exons. NCBI's taxonomy places the organism in Eukaryota, Metazoa, Chordata, Mammalia, Carnivora, Felidae. The record is from RefSeq and is a predicted model, not a curated record.
CCCACUUUGGGUACACAGAUUUUAAUAAACAAACAAACAAACAAACCACUUCUGUCUCUGACUUGGCCUCUUUAUUUUUAUUUAAUUGGCAGGGGGGUGGAAGCUGGCACGCCUUCUUCAAACAAAAAGGAACCCUAAACAUAUAGAACCUGGACUCCUGAACAUCAUUUUAUAUGAUUACUGUCUUCUUCUGAGGCGUAAGACCUGGGUCAGAGCCCAAAGUCAGAAUUGAGGCCAAAAGGACAAUUUUGCUGAGGACUCUUGCUGCUGCUAAGGGCUGUCCAUCCAUAGAAGACUUCCCCUGCCAGCCCCGUCCUGAGGCAGCUGCUUCUGGUGGGCAGCUGCAGCAUGGUGCCUUUCGUGCACAUGGCUUGAGGAGGGAGCCAUGGAUCUGUGCUACCGGAAUGCUGUGGGAUUGUCUUCUGGCCAUCAAGCUAAGACCCAAUAAGGCCAGCAUCCCAAGCAGGAUUAGGGCUGAAUUCUAAUUCAGCCUUCUCUCUGGAAUUGCUCGCCCACCAACACAGAACUGGUAUAACUGGGCCACGCUGAAAGUCUGGCCUGCUCACCAGAUAUUGGCAGCAAGCCAUUCUCUAUGGAGAUGUUUGUUUGAUGUUCAAAACAUGCAAACUUAGCAUCUUUGGUCAAGGAGAACAAUAACCUUUUCUUAUUCAACAUAAACGAUGAUCCUUUUUUACAACAACAGCAAAAAAGUCCAUAAAAAACUCAGUUUGAAACCAGAUUUUUUCCCC